RNAcentral lists this ribosomal RNA (253 nucleotides) under uncultured bacterium. RNAcentral describes it as "partial 16S ribosomal RNA". It matches the Rfam family "Bacterial small subunit ribosomal RNA", at positions 524 to 776 of the family's 1533-position model. The record is from RNAcentral.
UACGGGGGGUGCGAGCGUUGUCCGGAAUCACUGGGCGUAAAGGGCGCGUAGGUGGUUUGAUAAGGGUGUGGUGAAAGCCCGGGGCUCAACCCCGGGUCUGCCGUGCCGACUGUCAAACUCGAGGGCUGUAGAGGCAGACGGAAUUCCGGGUGUAGCGGUGGAAUGCGUAGAGAUCCGGAAGAACACCGGUGGCGAAGGCGGCCUGCUGGGCAGUAGCUGACACUGAGGCGCGACAGCGUGGGGAGCAAACAGG